This 176-nucleotide transfer RNA is filed under the name Dactylellina haptotyla CBS 200.50. Its description in RNAcentral is "tRNA-Und (NNN) (tRNA-Und-NNN-2-1)". It matches the Rfam family "tRNA". Rfam says of the family: Transfer RNA (tRNA) molecules are approximately 80 nucleotides in length. Their secondary structure includes four short double-helical elements and three loops (D, anti-codon, and T loops). Lineage: Eukaryota; Fungi; Ascomycota; Orbiliomycetes; Orbiliales; Orbiliaceae. The record is from RNAcentral.
GGCAAGAUGGCCGAGUGGUUAUGGCGUGUGGUACGUUGCAAAUAAAACACCUUCCACCUCUACUAUCAAAUCUUCUAACAUAUUCCCUUCUUUCAGACUCAAGCGUUAGCUUCGCUGACUCAGUCAGUGUGUUCUCAUGGGCUUAGCCCGCGGGGGUUCGAAUCCCCCUCUUGUCA